This 117-nucleotide ribosomal RNA is filed under the name Danio rerio (zebrafish). The record is from RNAcentral. Lineage: Eukaryota; Metazoa; Chordata; Actinopteri; Cypriniformes; Danionidae.
UUGCCGGCAGCUAGCUCUCUGCAACUCUCACAUGGUCGCUCACUGAAGCUAAGCAGGGCUGCACCCAGUCAGUACCUGGAUGGGAGACCAGUGGUGUUAGUGAGGCCUUCAGGGAGC